Trachemys scripta elegans is the source of this 1307-nucleotide long non-coding RNA. RefSeq lists it as uncharacterized. The record is from RefSeq and is a predicted model, not a curated record. The transcript has 3 exons. NCBI's taxonomy places the organism in Eukaryota, Metazoa, Chordata, Testudines, Emydidae.
UGUGAUCGGUCCCUUCACAAGUUGUGCAAACGAUUUGUUAGUUCAUGAGCCUAAUUAGUGCUGGGAUCACAUAAACAGCUUCCUCUGAAGCCUGGUAAAUGGCUUGAUGAUUGGUCGCUAUUACUCGCCUGGAGGUUGAAAGGGGGAGACUCUUUAAAGUGCGUCAGAGGGGAGGCGAGCUCCGGCAGCUGGGAUCCUGGAGGGAUGGAUUCAGGGCCCGGAACGGAGUGUGUCUCUCUCCACUCACUCCAGAGCGCUGGUGUCCCAGCCGGGCUCCUCACCUCUCCAGCCACUCAGCCGCAGAUCCGUCCUUCCUCCAGCAACCCAGCCAGAUGCAGCUAAGAUUUCUUUCUACAGUGACUGGAUCUGAUCUUGCUACUGUCCUCCAGCAAAGUGAGGAACUUUUUCCAACAUGGGCUUAAGGGUAGAGAGACUCUUACGCAAAGGAAUAUAAGGACUGCCAUACCAGAUGGGGCCCAAUGGUGAUUACUGACAUAUCAUCCGUCUGUACAACCAAUUUUCCAGAGGGGAAUGACAGAACUGCAUCAAGAAUGAAAGAAGAAGUUGUAUAUACUGAAGGUUGUGUAAACCAGAAAUACCUACUCUGUUUGAGAUGUUGGAUAGAUACAUGUGGUAGACAGUAAGUGCAGAGAAGGUAAGACCUGCCAGUAUAGGUUACUGAGCUGCAUGGAUUUUUAGUAGAAGUCCUUGUGUAGAUGAAUAUGUGAGUAACCUCUCUAAAGUCACUCAUCUUUUGCUAACUGUAAUGGUCCUUUUCUUGCUGUCUGCUAUGUAUCUGCUGCCGUGGCAGAUUGGAUGUAAAGAUGUACUUUAUGAAUUGUAACUUUUCCAAACUUUAUUCAGCCAAGAAACAGAGAGAACCCCUAAGGUGAAGUGUUCAUUAACAUGCUAACAGAAGCUGUUCCAAAGAGGAUAUAUGCUCAGACAUGCAAUGGGAGGUGAGGGUGCUUUAAAAGGCUCCAAGGCGUUAAAAGUAAAAUGUCUGGUCUUCUUAACUAGUGUUUCACAAGGCGUGCAUACAUGGCUCUCGCUGUUUAGACAGGUUCAAAGACUUCAUUAUCAUAUGGGCAGAAGAGCUUUUGUAAAGUGUAGAUAUGCACCAAUGCAAGAUAGAAGAUGGAAAUGAAAAGAAUAGAGAUACUCAGCCUAUACAUAUUUGGCAUGACCUUGAAAUACAAUUAUCUUUGUGUAUUAAGGUCUGGACUACAGGAUGCGGUAAUACAUGAACAUUUAAGACUGGGAAGGCAGUAUGGCCUAGUGGAUAAGCGCACUAGACCAGGACUUAG